Molecule: long non-coding RNA, 376 nt
Organism: Cyprinus carpio (common carp)
Lineage: Eukaryota; Metazoa; Chordata; Actinopteri; Cypriniformes; Cyprinidae
Exons: 3
Source: RefSeq, a predicted model, not a curated record
GAAUCGUAUCAUGUGACAACAACAAGCGAAGGUCAGAAAAAAAAGAAGGAAGAAAGCAUUGGAAAAGCAUUGAAAAGUUUUCUUAACUACAUCUAAAAAUCUCUUCUAAUGCACUAGCUGCAAUAACAAAGUCACCUCCAGGACAUACUGAGGAGUGGCUGAUUGCUUUCACAAACCAGUUCUAGGCUGUUUCAGUGGUGACUUUGCUGCAAUAUGUCAGAGGACCAAGGAAAAGACUCUCCGUCUGAGACAAGUCUCUCAGAGAAACAGAAUGUAGGAUCAGGCUCACAUGUGUCCAGCUCUAUGUCUGUGAAGAGUGACCAGUCUAAAGAUGGUGGACCGAACUUCAAUGAUGAUACGCCAUUAUUUACCAAAA